CAGAGGGGGCAAGCGUUGUUCGGAAUUACUGGGCGUAAAGGGCGCGUAGGCGGCCUGUUAAGUCGAACGUGAAAUCCCCGGGCUCAACCCGGGAACUGCGUCCGACACUGGCAGGCUUGAAUCCGGGAGAGGGAUGCGGAAUUCCAGGUGUAGCGGUGAAAUGCGUAGAUAUCUGGGGGAACACCGGUGGCGAAGGCGGCAUCCUGGACCGGCAUUGACGCUGAGGCGCGAAAGCCAGGGGAGCAAACGGGAUUAGAUACCCCGGUAGUCCUGGCCCUAAACGAUGAAUGCUUGGUGUGGCGGGUAUCGAUCCCUGCCGUGCCGAAGCUAACGCAUUAAGCAUUCCGCCUGGGGAGUACGGUCGCAAGGCUG
Molecule: ribosomal RNA, 372 nt
Filed under: uncultured organism
Description: bacterial SSU rRNA
Rfam family: Bacterial small subunit ribosomal RNA
Source: RNAcentral